Molecule: ribosomal RNA, 250 nt
Filed under: uncultured bacterium
Lineage: Bacteria
Description: partial 16S ribosomal RNA
Rfam family: Bacterial small subunit ribosomal RNA
Source: RNAcentral
UACGUAGGGUGCAAGCGUUGUCCGGAAUUAUUGGGCGUAAAGAGCUCGUAGGCGGUCUGUCGCGUCGGCUGUGAAAACCCGGGGCUCAACCCGGGCCUGCAGUCGAUACGGGCAGACUAGAGUGCGGUAGGGAGACUGGAAUUCCUGGUGGUAGCGGUGAAAUGCGCAGAUAUCAGGAGGAACACCGGUGGCGAAGGCGGGUCUCUGGGCCGUAACUGACGCUGAGGAGCGAAAGCUGGGAGCGAACAGG